AUACGUAGGGGGCGAGCGUUGUCCGGAAUGAUUGGGCGUAAAGGGCGCGUAGGCGGCUUUGCAAGUCAGUAGUGGAAGUCCAUUUUUCAAGGAUGGAAGUGCUACAGAAACUGCGGAGCUUGAGUGCAGGAGAGGUUAUCGGAAUUCCCGGUGUAGCGGUGAAAUGCGUAGAGAUCGGGAGGAACACCAGUGGCGAAGGCGGGUAACUGGACUGCAACUGACGCUGAGGCGCGAAAGUGUGGGGAGCAAACAGGAUUAGAUACCCUAGUAGUCCACACUGUAAACGAUGAAUGCUAGGUGUAGGAGGUAUCGACCCCUUCUGUGCCGCAGUAAACACAGUAAGCAUUCCGCCUGGGGAGUACGGUCGCAAGAUUAAAACUCAAAUGAAUUGACGGG
This 396-nucleotide ribosomal RNA is filed under the name uncultured bacterium. Its description in RNAcentral is "partial 16S ribosomal RNA". It matches the Rfam family "Bacterial small subunit ribosomal RNA", at positions 523 to 917 of the family's 1533-position model. The record is from RNAcentral.